RNAcentral lists this transfer RNA (74 nucleotides) under Acidiferrobacterales bacterium. Its description in RNAcentral is "tRNA-Cys". It matches the Rfam family "tRNA". From Rfam's summary of the family: Transfer RNA (tRNA) molecules are approximately 80 nucleotides in length. Their secondary structure includes four short double-helical elements and three loops (D, anti-codon, and T loops). Further hydrogen bonds mediate the characteristic L-shaped molecular structure. tRNAs have two regions of fundamental functional importance: the anti-codon, which is responsible for specific mRNA codon recognition, and the 3' end, to which the tRNAs corresponding amino acid is attached (by aminoacyl-tRNA synthetases). tRNAs cope with the degeneracy of the genetic code in two manners: having more than one tRNA (with a specific anti-codon) for a particular amino acid; and 'wobble' base-pairing, i.e. permitting non-standard base-pairing at the 3rd anti-codon position. The record is from RNAcentral. Lineage: Bacteria; Pseudomonadati; Pseudomonadota; Gammaproteobacteria; Acidiferrobacterales.
GGCCGAGUGGCAGAGGGGUUAUGCAGCGGCCUGCAAAGCCGUCUACGCCGGUUCGAAUCCGACCUCGGCCUCCA